CCUACGGGUGGCAGCAGUGAGGAAUAUUGGUCAAUGGGCGCGAGCCUGAACCAGCCAAGUAGCGUGAAGGAUGACUGCCCUACGGGUUGUAAACUUCUUUUAUAAAAGAAUAAAGUGAGGCACGUGUGCCUUUUUGUAUGUACUUUAUGAAUAAGGAUCGGCUAACUCCGUGCCAGCAGCCGCGGUAAUACGGAGGAUCCGAGCGUUAUCCGGAUUUAUUGGGUUUAAAGGGAGCGUAGAUGGGUUGUUAAGUCAGUUGUGAAAGUUUGCGGCUCAACCGUAAAAUUGCAAUUGAUACUGGCAGUCUUGAGUACAGUUGAGGUAGGCGGAAUGCGUGGUGUAGCGGUGAAAUGCUUAGAUAUCACGAAGAACGCCGAUUGCGAAGGCAGCUUACCAAACUGCCACUGACAUUGAUGCUCGAAAGUGUGGGGAGCAAACAGGAUUAGAUACCCGGGUAGUC
This 460-nucleotide ribosomal RNA is filed under the name uncultured bacterium. RNAcentral describes it as "partial 16S ribosomal RNA". It matches the Rfam family "Bacterial small subunit ribosomal RNA", at positions 338 to 795 of the family's 1533-position model. The record is from RNAcentral.